GCAGGUGNACCCGAGUGGNCAAAGGGGGAGGGCUCAAGAUCCUCUGCAUAGCGCUUCGCAGGUUCGAAUCCUGCCGCCUGCACCA
RNAcentral lists this transfer RNA (85 nucleotides) under Methanobacteriota archaeon. RNAcentral describes it as "Euryarchaeota archaeon tRNA-Leu". It matches the Rfam family "tRNA". Rfam says of the family: Transfer RNA (tRNA) molecules are approximately 80 nucleotides in length. Their secondary structure includes four short double-helical elements and three loops (D, anti-codon, and T loops). Further hydrogen bonds mediate the characteristic L-shaped molecular structure. tRNAs have two regions of fundamental functional importance: the anti-codon, which is responsible for specific mRNA codon recognition, and the 3' end, to which the tRNAs corresponding amino acid is attached (by aminoacyl-tRNA synthetases). tRNAs cope with the degeneracy of the genetic code in two manners: having more than one tRNA (with a specific anti-codon) for a particular amino acid; and 'wobble' base-pairing, i.e. permitting non-standard base-pairing at the 3rd anti-codon position. The record is from RNAcentral. Lineage: Archaea; Methanobacteriati; Methanobacteriota.